RNAcentral lists this ribosomal RNA (856 nucleotides) under uncultured archaeon. RNAcentral's name for it is "bacterial SSU rRNA". It matches the Rfam family "Archaeal small subunit ribosomal RNA", at positions 21 to 887 of the family's 1478-position model. The record is from RNAcentral.
ACCUGACUGCUAUCGGAUUGGUACUAAGCCAUGCGAGUCGUUGUAGCAAUACAAGGCAGACGGCUCAGUAACACGUAGUCAAUCUACCCUAUGGACGUGGAUAACCUCGGGAAACUGAGAAUAAUACACGAUAGAUCAUAAUGCCUGGAAUGGUUUAUGAUUAAAAUGAUUUAUCGCCGUAGGAUGGGACUGCGGCCUAUCAGCUUGUUGGUGAGGUAAUGGCCCACCAAGGCUAUAACAGGUACGGGCUCUGAGAGGAGAAGCCCGGAGAUGGGUACUGAGACACGGACCCAGGCCCUAUGGGGCGCAGCAGGCGAGAAACCUUAGCAAUGUGCGAAAGCACAACUAGGUUAAUCCGAGUGAUUUCUGCUGAAGAAAUCUUUUGUCAGUUCUAAAACUACUAAUGAAUAAGGGGUGGGCAAGUCUGGUGUCAGCCGCCGCGGUAAUACCAGCACCUCGAGUGGUCAGGAGGUUUAUUGGGCCUAAAGCAUCCGUAGCCGGCUUUGCAAGUCUCCGGUUAAAUCCAACUGCUCAACAGAUGGGCUGCCGGAGAUACUACAAAGCUAGGGAGCGGGAGAGGCAGACGGUAUUCGGUGGGUAGGGGUAAAAUCCUCUGAUCCAUUGAGGACCACCAGUGGCGAAAGGCGGUCUGCCAGAACGCGUUCGACGGUGAGGGAUGAAAGCUGGGGGAGCAAACCGGAUUAGAUACCCGGGUAGUCCCAGCUGUAAACGAUGCAACUCGGUGAUGCAUUGGCUUAUGGCCAAUGCAGUGCCGCAGGAAGCCGUUAAGUUUGCCGCCUGGNAGUACGUCCGCAAGACUGAAACUUAAANAAUUGGCGGGGGAGCNCCACAAGGG